This 466-nucleotide ribosomal RNA is filed under the name uncultured bacterium. RNAcentral describes it as "bacterial SSU rRNA". It matches the Rfam family "Bacterial small subunit ribosomal RNA", at positions 355 to 825 of the family's 1533-position model. The record is from RNAcentral.
UCGGGAAUUUUGGGCAAUGGGUGAGAGCCUGAUCCAGCCAUGCCGCGUGCAGGAAGAAGGCGUUAUGCGUUGUAAACUGCUUUUGCCAGGGGAUAAAAAGACCGUGCGCGGUUAAUUGAAGGUACCUGGUGAAUAAGCCACGGCUAACUACGUGCCAGCAGCCGCGGUAAUACGUAGGUGGCAAGCGUUGUCCGGAUUUAUUGGGUUUAAAGGGUGCGUAGGUGGCCCUGUAAGUCAGUGGUGAAAUAUCUCAGCUUAACUGAGAGGGUGCCAUUGAUACUGCAGGGCUUGAGUACAGAUGAGGUAGGCGGAAUUGACGGUGUAGCGGUGAAAUGCAUAGAUAUCGUCAAGAACACCGAUAGCGAAGGCAGCUUACCAAGCUGUAACUGACACUGAGGCACGAAAGUGUGGGGAUCAAACAGGAUUAGAUACCCACGUAGUCCCUGAGCGGGCUGGCAAGGCGCAU